This 301-nucleotide ribosomal RNA is filed under the name uncultured bacterium. RNAcentral's name for it is "partial 16S ribosomal RNA". It matches the Rfam family "Bacterial small subunit ribosomal RNA", at positions 509 to 807 of the family's 1533-position model. The record is from RNAcentral.
CAGUCGCCACGGUAAUACGAAGGGUGCAAGCGUUAAUCGGAAUUACUGGGCGUAAAGCGUGCGUAGGCGGUUUCUUAAGUCUGAUGUGAAAGCCCCCGGCUCAACCGGGGAGGGUCAUUGGAAACUGGGAAACUUGAGUGCAGAAGAGGAGAGUGGAAUUCCACGUGUAGCGGUGAAAUGCGUAGAUAUAUGGAGGAACACCGGUGGCGAAAGCGGCUCUCUGGCUCGUAACUGACGCUGAGGCUCGAAAGCGUGGGGAGCAAACAGGAUUAGAUACCCGAGUAGUCCCUGUCUCUUAUAC